RNAcentral lists this ribosomal RNA (511 nucleotides) under Callionymus russelli. RNAcentral's name for it is "partial large subunit ribosomal RNA". It matches the Rfam family "Bacterial large subunit ribosomal RNA", at positions 1849 to 2564 of the family's 2925-position model. Lineage: Eukaryota; Metazoa; Chordata; Actinopteri; Syngnathiformes; Callionymidae. The record is from RNAcentral.
GAGGUCCCGCCUGCCCGGUGACUAAAUGUUUAACGGCCGCGGUAUUUUAACCGUGCAAAGGUAGCGUAAUCACUUGUCUUUUAAAUGAAGACCUGUAUGAAUGGCAUCACGAGGGCUUAACUGUCUCUUUUUCCCAGUCAAUGAAAUUGAUCUCCCCGUGCAGAAGCUGGGAUAAUAACAUAAGACGAGAAGACCCUAUGGAGCUUUAAACAUAUCAGGUUUACGUCACUACCCCCUUGUUAAAGGAAUGAACUAAGUAUAAGCCUAGAAAAUGUUUUUGGUUGGGGCGACCACGGGAAAAUACAUAACUCCCACGAUGAGAAAGCAUUUACUUUUAAAGCUAAGACCCCCAAGUCUAAGCCAUAGAAACUCUAACACAAAGAUCCGGCUUGCCGAUCAACGAAACGAGUUACCCUAGGGAUAACAGCGCAAUCCCCUUUAAGAGACCUUAUCAGCAAGGGGGUUUACGACCUCGAUGUUGGAUCAGGACAUCCUAAUGGUGCAGCCGCUA